RNAcentral lists this non-coding RNA (610 nucleotides) under Trichomonas vaginalis G3. Its description in RNAcentral is "Eukaryotic large subunit ribosomal RNA". It matches the Rfam family "Eukaryotic large subunit ribosomal RNA", at positions 1 to 897 of the family's 3401-position model. The record is from Rfam by way of RNAcentral. Lineage: Eukaryota; Parabasalia; Trichomonadida; Trichomonadidae.
GUAGUCUGCCAUACGCAGGAAGACCCGCUGAACUGAAGCAUCUCAUUAAGCGGAGGAAAAGAAACUAACUAGGAUUCCCUUAGUAAAGGCGAUCGAAAAGGGAACAGCCCAACGUCUUAAUCCCGCAAGGGAAAUGUAGUCGGUUCACCUAUUGCACUGGUCUAAGUCAGAUGGAAUGCUGCGCGAUUCAGAGUAAAAGCCUCGUAUGACCAACCGCAAGCUUACGAUGGACCGGGGAGAGUCGGAUACUUUGAGAGUAGUGUCUUAAGGGGGUGGUAUGUCCCAUCCAAGGCUAAAUAACGUGAGGAGACCGAUAGAUUACAAGUAGUGUGAACGAAAGAUGAAAAGAACUCUAAAACAGAGGGUGAAAAGUUCCUGAACUUGCUUAGGGUUAAGGCUAUUUAUAGUACCCGUCUUGAAACACGGAUUAGGGAGUUUAUCUGUAGUGCGAGUCUUUGCACGUUAACUGUAAAGGCGUAGAGAAAGCAACUGGCGUUUGCAUGGCUACUGAGCAUUACUGAUAGGACCCGAAAGGUGGUGAACUUUGCCUGCACAGGUUGAAGUCAGGGGAAACUCUGAUGGAGGACCGUACGGGUUAUUGAUGUGCAAA